This is a long non-coding RNA of Serinus canaria (Common canary), 710 nucleotides long. RefSeq lists it as uncharacterized. NCBI's taxonomy places the organism in Eukaryota, Metazoa, Chordata, Aves, Passeriformes, Fringillidae. The record is from RefSeq and is a predicted model, not a curated record. The transcript has 2 exons.
GAUAAGAAGGAUGAAAUUAGUCCUCCCUUGAGGCUGAAAAGUGGGUUUUGUCUGUCAUCUCUUGUGGAAUUGCAGAGAUCAGGAGGACUUUAAAGCACAGUCUGUUGAUUUCAGAGGAACUUGGUUGACCUGAAACAGCAUGAUCUGAACUACAGCCAGUGACAUAUUAAAAGCUCCUUUUUAUUUGCUGCAUUAGAGGAUAGAAUUAUUUUUAUGUUUUCAGAGCACUUCUGUUAAAUAAGCUCCAAGACUUGCUUUUUUCAUUUUUGCAUAGCUUAAUGUUGGCUGCUUAGGGUUUUUUAAUGUAUUUAUUUUAGGUACAUGGAUGUUGAGCAAUAUUAAGUUGAGCCAUGGUUUGGUAAGAUCUCAAAAACUUUAGGACUUUAGAAUUUGCUGAAGGAAUAAUUUUGUUCCAGUUUUGAUGCUAUCACUUUCACUUAAAUCAGAGCCAGAUGAACUUUGGAACUAGUUGUACCAUUUCUGAGUUGUUCAGGACUUUUAUGAAAUAUAGCAUUGCACAGUGGCCAGUCUACCUGCAUCCACCAAUCCAGAAUAUAAAAUUUGUUGUUUUUAUUGCUACUACUGUCCUUAGGAUUAUAAACACUGCAAGUGCAAUGCUACAGAUUUCAGAACUUUGAUGUAAUUUCAAGUUGUGUUUAAAUAUGGGAGGGAACUACUAAAAAUGAAACAUUAAAGUUAGAUAAAAAUUA